AGGAUUUGAAGUCUAACAUUAGAACACGCUUGUAUCAUGGCUAAACUGUUCAAAACCGUAGCUUGUCUUGUUGUCUUCUUGGUGAUGAUGGCGGCCUUCGUGCCGACCGAGGUAUCAGCGCAAUACCAUGGUGGUGGUGGUUGGCCAAACAGAAGGUGGGGCGGCGGGCAUAGACGUUGGAAUCGUGGAGGACGCUGGAAUCGUGGUGGACGCUGGGGUGGGCGUUAUGGUGGCUGGUAGCAGAUGAUUAACCGAACGACAGACAAGACAUGGCGAUAACUGACUUUUACUAAAUGCUGAUAAAAACAUAA
Long non-coding RNA from Mytilus trossulus (common blue mussel), 311 nucleotides. RefSeq lists it as uncharacterized. NCBI's taxonomy places the organism in Eukaryota, Metazoa, Mollusca, Bivalvia, Mytilida, Mytilidae. The record is from RefSeq and is a predicted model, not a curated record. The transcript is spliced from 3 exons.